This 604-nucleotide ribosomal RNA is filed under the name uncultured bacterium. RNAcentral's name for it is "bacterial SSU rRNA". It matches the Rfam family "Bacterial small subunit ribosomal RNA", at positions 278 to 882 of the family's 1533-position model. The record is from RNAcentral.
GAUCAGUAGGGGUUCUGAGAGGAAGGUCCCCCACAUUGGAACUGAGACACGGUCCAAACUCCUACGGGAGGCAGCAGUGAGGAAUAUUGGUCAAUGAACGAGAGUCUGAACCAGCCAAGUAGCGUGCAGGAAGACGGCCCUAUGGGUUGUAAACUGCUUUUAUAAGGGAAUAAAGUGAGUCUCGUGAGACUUUUUGCAUGUACCUUAUGAAUAAGGACCGGCUAAUUCCGUGCCAGCAGCCGCGGUAAUACGGAAGGUCCGGGCGUUAUCCGGAUUUAUUGGGUUUAAAGGGAGCGUAGGCCGGAGAUUAAGCGUGUUGUGAAAUGUAGAUGCUCAACAUCUGCACUGCAGCGCGAACUGGUUUCCUUGAGUACGCACAAAGUGGGCGGAAUUCGUGGUGUAGCGGUGAAAUGCUUAGAUAUCACGAAGAACUCCGAUUGCGAAGGCAGCUCACUGGAGCGCAACUGACGCUGAAGCUCGAAAGUGCGGGUAUCGAACAGGAUUAGAUACCCUGGUAGUCCGCACGGUAAACGAUGGAUGCCCGCUGUUGGUCUGAAUAGGUCAGCGGCCAAGCGAAAGCAUUAAGCAUCCCACCUGGGGAGUA